AUGUGACUAGUACUCACUAAUGGAAAUGAUGGAGGUGGCAUAUAUCACUUCCAAAUAGACGUGGCUAAGAAGCAGGUGUUCCUUCUCGACCCACCCUCUUUUUCCCCAUCUGUAAUGGCUUUGAAGGUAUGUGCUGAAGUGGACCAAGUGACAAACUGGAAGGAACCUGGAUCCCUGAAUCACCAUGGUGAAAGCCACCCACCAAACAUCCACACUAGACGGCUGUGCAAAUGAGGAAACUGAGGCACAGAAAGACUAUGACCUGCCCAAUGCCACUUAGCUGGAGCUGCUUAACAGGCUCGACUAUAACCCAGCACGUGAAAUGUACAAUAACAUCCGGAUGUGGCACCAGGCCCCGCUUCUACCACACUCCAGCAAAAAUAAACCUCUCCAUCCAAAUAUAGAGCGGUCAGAAGUGCCAUGUUUUACAGGGUAAGAGGCAGUUAUUUGGCAUUAAAAAUAGACAAGCUUUAGCUUCCCUGCAAAUCUGGGCAAGGGCACUGCAAUUUCCAAAUGGAAACCUAGAUGGAUAGGGGAGGCCCCCCUCCAACUGACUCAGCUACUUAAAAAGCCCACAAUGAAACUUACAUCCCCUUUCUGGGCCUCAGUUUACUCAUCCAUAAAAUGAAGAGGUAAAGCAAAACAACUGAUGGGACUUCAAGCUCCCACGCUCUAUGAGAGUACUAACUGGAGUCCAAAGCUGGCCCUCAGAGAGCUGAAGGUCUCCUAAAUCAUGGGGACCCUGUGUGCAGAUGAGGUGUGACCUUGGCUGUGACCUUGGGCUCACAGCUUUCUGCAGAUAGGACCAAAAGUAGUUCUGCCCCCAGGGAUUUUCAGAAUUCUGUCAAGGGCCUUAAAUUACCCUUUGGAGUCAGACACAUUGUUAAGCCCCAAAGAAAGGCAAGCCAGAAGUACCCCCUACAACUAGCAUAACUGCUGCGAUGCUACCUUGAUAAAAGGAAACCAAAGCCCAGCUUGACACCAGAGGGGAGAGCUGAGAAGAGGGUCUGCCAGGGCAUUUUCUGUCACCGAGGCUGCCUGCCACCGCUGAGUGCCUUUGCACUUACCCCCUCCCUCAUCCUGCAGAAGGCUGGACCCAGAUCCAAAGCCAGGUCUGCAUCCAAAGCUUCCUCACUCCGCCCCUCCCCCCCACCCCUCCCUGGUUUUUCCACCUCAUGAGGCCUUCCCUGUGCUGCUUAUGGUGAGGUCAGCAUGGCCCUUGUCCACUCGCAGAGUCGAAAGGAAGUCCUGACAAAAGCAGGGAGACUGGGGGUAACUCAGGACAAGAGUCUAAUUCCCUGACGGAUCCCCUUGCAUUUUUCCCACACCUUGAAAAAGAAAG
Acinonyx jubatus (cheetah) is the source of this 1342-nucleotide long non-coding RNA. RefSeq lists it as uncharacterized. The record is from RefSeq and is a predicted model, not a curated record. The transcript has 3 exons. Lineage: Eukaryota; Metazoa; Chordata; Mammalia; Carnivora; Felidae.